AAUGAGUCUAACAAAGGCUAAGAUCAAGUGUAGUGUCUGUUCUUAUCGGUUUAACUGCUGGUACGUUCUCCAUGUGAGCACUGUGUUUUAAUGUUAGGCAUUUUACUGGCUUUUGAAAAUCCCACUUGUAAGCAGUUUGCUCUUGUAAAUUUAUA
Molecule: small nuclear RNA, 155 nt
Organism: Pelodiscus sinensis (Chinese soft-shelled turtle)
Lineage: Eukaryota; Metazoa; Chordata; Testudines; Trionychidae
Rfam family: U2 spliceosomal RNA
About the family: U2 is a small nuclear RNA (snRNA) component of the spliceosome (involved in pre-mRNA splicing). Complementary binding between U2 snRNA (in an area lying towards the 5' end but 3' to hairpin I) and the branchpoint sequence (BPS) of the intron results the bulging out of an unpaired adenosine, on the BPS, which initiates a nucleophilic attack at the intronic 5' splice site, thus starting the first of two transesterification reactions that mediate splicing.
Source: Rfam